Molecule: transfer-messenger RNA, 354 nt
Filed under: Oscillospiraceae
Lineage: Bacteria; Bacillati; Bacillota; Clostridia; Eubacteriales
Also listed under: 1 other name
Description: QAMM01 sp902766785 Standard tmRNA
Rfam family: transfer-messenger RNA
About the family: Bacterial tmRNA, also known as 10Sa RNA or SsrA, is named for its dual tRNA and mRNA-like properties. Its role is to liberate the mRNA from a stalled ribosome. To accomplish this part of the tmRNA is used as a reading frame that ends in a translation stop signal.
Source: RNAcentral
GGGGGCGUAAAGGUUUCGACGGGGAUUCUGAAUCUUGGUAAGCGAGUAGAGCGGGCGGAAGCUCUUUAAUAGCCGCACCUAAAUAUAAACGCUAAAUCUAAUACUAGAACUUUAGCUUACGCUGCAUAAUUGCGGCUCGUCCUUGAUUUGAGUACCACGGCUUAUCUUGGGCGCACAUGAGUGGUGAACGUCUUCCGGGCGAGCCUGUAACCCGGUUGAUGUACAGAAGGCUACCGCAUCAGCAGCCUGUUUAUCGGCUUGCGGGCGCGGGAAAUUUAUAUAGAUAAACUACACUCGUAGAAAGCCUUGACGACGGAUUUUCGGACGGGGGUUCGACUCCCCCCGCCUCCACCA